UGAGUACCCGCUGCGCCCGAGAGAG
Molecule: microRNA, 25 nt
Filed under: Bombyx mori (domestic silkworm)
Lineage: Eukaryota; Metazoa; Arthropoda; Insecta; Lepidoptera; Bombycidae
Description: bmo-miR-3413
Source: miRBase by way of RNAcentral